Molecule: ribosomal RNA, 291 nt
Filed under: uncultured bacterium
Lineage: Bacteria
Description: partial 16S ribosomal RNA
Rfam family: Bacterial small subunit ribosomal RNA
Source: RNAcentral
GUGGAUUAGAUACCCUGGUAGUCCACGCCCUAAACGAUGUCAACUAGGUGUUGGGUGGGUAAAACCAUUUAGUACCGGAGCUAACGCGUGAAGUUGACCGCCUGGGGAGUACGGCCGCAAGGUUAAAACUCAAAGGAAUUGACGGGGACCCGCACAAGCGGUGGAUGAUGUGGAUUAAUUCGAUGCAACGCGAAAAACCUUACCUACCCUUGACAUGUCCAGAAGCCCGAAGAGAUUUGGGUGUGCCCGAAAGGGAGCUGGAACACAGGUGCUGCACGGCCGUCGCCAACU